GGACUACAGGGGUUUCUAAUCCUGUUUGAUCCCCACACUUUCGUGCAUCAGCGUCAGUUACAGUCUGGUAAGCUGCCUUCGCUAUCGGUGUUCUUGACGAUAUCUAUGCAUUUCACCGCUACACCGUCAAUUCCGCCUACCUCGUCUGUACUCAAGUUCCCCAGUAUCAAUGGCACCUCAACCGUUAAGCGGCUGUAUUUCACCACUGACUUAAGGAACCGCCUACGCACCCUUUAAACCCAAUAAAUCCGGACAACGCUUGCCACCUACGUAUUACCGCGGCUGCUGGCAC
Molecule: ribosomal RNA, 292 nt
Filed under: uncultured Bacteroidota bacterium
Lineage: Bacteria; Pseudomonadati; Bacteroidota
Description: uncultured Bacteroidetes bacterium partial 16S ribosomal RNA
Source: RNAcentral